UGGGAAAUAACUCGUUGUCUAUCUCGAGGCGGACGGGUGAGUAACACGUAGGCAACGCUACCCUACUAGACUGGGAUAACUACCGGAAACGGUAGCUAAUACCGGAUAAUUCCUUGAUCCACCUGGGUUUGGGAUGAAAGGCGGAGCAAUCUGCUGCUAGAGGAUGGGCCUGCGGCGCAUUAGCUAGUUGGUGGGGUAACGGCCUACCAAGGCGACGAUGCGUAGCCGACCUGAGAGGGUGAACGGCCACACUGGGAAUGAGACACGGCCCAGACUCCUACGGGAGGCAGCAGUAGGGAAUCUUCCGCAAUGGGCGAAAGCCUGACGGAGCAACGCCGCGUGAGUGAUGAAGGUUUUCGGAUCGUAAAGCUCUGUUGCCAGGGAAGAACGUCCGGUAGAGUAACUGCUGCCGGAGUGACGGUACCUGAGAAGAAAGCCCCGGCUAACUACGUGCCAGCAGCCGCGGUAAUACGUAGGGGGCAAGCGUUGUCCGGAAUUAUUGGGCGUAAAGCGCGCGCAGGCGGCUGCUUAAGUCUGGUGUUUAAACCUUGGGCUCAACCUGGGGUCGCACUGGAAACUGGGCAGCUUGAGUACAGAAGAGGAAAGUGGAAUUCCACGUGUAGCGGUGAAAUGCGUAGAGAUGUGGAGGAACACCAGUGGCGAAGGCGACUUUCUGGGCUGUAACUGACGCUGAGGCGCGAAAGCGUGGGGAGCAAACAGGAUUAGAUACCCUGGUAGUCCACGCCGUAAACGAUGAGUGCUAGGUGUUAGGGGUUUCGAUACCCUUGGUGCCGAAGUUAACACAGUAAGCACUCCGCCUGGGGAGUACGGUCGCAAGACUGAAACUCAAAGGAAUUGACGGGGACCCGCACAAGCAGUGGAGUAUGUGGUUUAAUUCGAAGCAACGCGAAGAACCUUACCAGGUCUUGACAUCCAACUAACGAAGCAGAGAUGCAUUAGUGCCCUUCGGGAAAGUUGAGACAGUGUGCAUGCUGUCGUCAGCUCGUGUCGUGAGAUGUAGGAUAGUCCGCACGAGCGCAAACCUUGACUUUAGUUGCAGCAGGUGAGCUGCACUCUAGAUGACUGCCGUGACAACCGAGAGUGGGAUGACGCAAUCAUCAUGCCCAUAUGACCUGGCCUACACACCCACAACAAUGGCCGGUACAACGGGAAGCGAAACCGCGAGGUGGAGCCAAUCCCAGCAAAGCCGGUCUCAGUUCGGAUUGCAGGCUGCAACUCGCCUGCAUGAAGUCGGAAUUGCUAGUAUCCGUGGAUCUGAAGUCAGACAUGCGUU
This 1294-nucleotide ribosomal RNA is filed under the name Paenibacillus sp. RNAcentral describes it as "bacterial SSU rRNA". It matches the Rfam family "Bacterial small subunit ribosomal RNA", at positions 68 to 1372 of the family's 1533-position model. The record is from RNAcentral. Lineage: Bacteria; Bacillati; Bacillota; Bacilli; Caryophanales; Paenibacillaceae.